GACGUAGGGCGCGAGCGUUGUCCGGAUUUAUUGGGCGUAAAGAGCUCGUAGGCGGCUCGUUGCGUCGGCUGUGAAAACCCGCAGCUCAACUGUGGGCUUGCAGCCGAUACGGGCGGGCUUGAGUUCGGUAGGGGAGACUGGAAUUCCUGGUGUAGCGGUGAAAUGCGCAGAUAUCAGGAGGAACACCGGUGGCGAAGGCGGGUCUCUGGGCCGAAACUGACGCUGAGGAGCGAAAGCAUGGGGAGCGAACAGG
RNAcentral lists this ribosomal RNA (253 nucleotides) under uncultured bacterium. RNAcentral describes it as "partial 16S ribosomal RNA". It matches the Rfam family "Bacterial small subunit ribosomal RNA", at positions 524 to 776 of the family's 1533-position model. The record is from RNAcentral.